This 543-nucleotide ribosomal RNA is filed under the name uncultured bacterium. Its description in RNAcentral is "partial 16S ribosomal RNA". It matches the Rfam family "Bacterial small subunit ribosomal RNA", at positions 353 to 886 of the family's 1533-position model. The record is from RNAcentral.
UGGGGGAAUUUUUGGACAAUGGGCGAAAGCCUGAUCCAGCAAUGCCGCGUGUGUGAAGAAGGCCUUCGGGUUGUAAAGCACUUUUGUCCGGAAAGAAAUCCUUGGCUCUAAUACAGUCGGGGGAUGACGGUACCGGAAGAAUAAGCACCGGCUAACUACGUGCCAGCAGCCGCGGUAAUACGUAGGGUGCAAGCGUUAAUCGGAAUUACUGGGCGUAAAGCGUGCGCAGGCGGUUUGCUAAGACCGAUGUGAAAUCCCCGGGCCCAACCUGGGAACUGCAUUGGUGACUGGCAGGCUAGAGUAUGGCAGAGGGGGGCUAGAAUUCCACGUGUAGCAGUGAAAUGCGUAGAGAUGUGGAGGAAUACCGAUGGCGAAGGCAGCCCCCUGGGCCAAUACUGACGCUCAUGCACGAAAGCGUGGGGGAGCAAACAGGAUUAGAUACCCUGGUAGUCCACGCCCUAAACGAUGUCAACUAGUUGUUGGGGAUUCAUUUCCUUAGUAACGUAGCUAACCGCGUGAAGUUGACCGCCUGGGGAGUACGGU